GUAGGUGGCAAGCGUUGUCCGGAAUUAUUGGGCGUAAAGCGCGCGCAGGCGGUCCUUUAAGUCUGAUGUGAAAGCCCACGGCUCAACCGUGGAGGGUCAUUGGAAACUGGGGGGCUUGAGUGCAGAAGAGAAGAGUGGAAUUCCACGUGUAGCGGUGAAAUGCGUAGAGAUGUGGAGGAACACCAGUGGCGAAGGCGACUCUUUGGUCUGUAACUGACGCUGAGGCGCAAAAGCGUGGGGAGCAAACAGGAUUAGAUACCCUGGUAGUCCACGCCGUAAACGAUGAGUGCUAAGUGUUAGAGGGUUUUCCGCCCUUUAGUGCUGCAGCAAACGCAUUAAGCACUCCGCCUGGGAGUACGGCCGCAAGGCUG
This 371-nucleotide ribosomal RNA is filed under the name uncultured organism. RNAcentral describes it as "partial 16S ribosomal RNA". It matches the Rfam family "Bacterial small subunit ribosomal RNA", at positions 527 to 896 of the family's 1533-position model. The record is from RNAcentral.